This 1317-nucleotide long non-coding RNA is filed under the name Macaca fascicularis (crab-eating macaque). RNAcentral's name for it is "lncRNA (ENSMFAG00000061579.1)". The record is from RNAcentral. Lineage: Eukaryota; Metazoa; Chordata; Mammalia; Primates; Cercopithecidae.
CUACUAGGCCCUGAGGGUCCCCAGCAGAUAUGGAAGUGAGUGAGACAGACAAGGUCCUGCUCUUGAAGACCCUCAGGAGAGAACUCACCGUAGGCAGAGCCUGCUUCAACCUCUCCCCAAACGAGGCCUGGACACUGGCUGCACAUCAGGCACCUCUGGCAGACACCAGGGCUGCCUGGAGCAGAGGAAAGAGCAUAGCUUUGGAAUUAAACAGGCGUCAACCUGUAUCCUGAAUGUUCAUCACGAGCUGUGUGUCUAUGAGCAAGUCCCUAACCUCUCUGACCCUCAGUAAGAAUAACAAAAGCUAGCCUGGAGCGUGGCUCACGCCUGUAAUCCCAGCACUUUGGGAGGCCAAAGCAGGGGGAUGACUUGAGGCCAGGAGUUCGAGACCAGCCUGGCCAACAUGGUGAAACUCAUCUCUACUUAAAAAAAAAAAAAAAUUAGCUGGGCAUGGUGGUGCACACCUCUAAUCCCAGCUACUCAAGUGGCUGAGGCACGAUAAUUGCUUGAACCUGAGAGGCGGAGGUUGCAGUGAGUCCAGAUUGCACUCUAGCACUCCAGUCUGGGCGAGGGAGCAAGAUUCUGUCUUAAAAAAAAAAAAGGCCGGGCACGGUGGCUUAUGCCUCUAAUUCCAGCACUUUGGGAGGCCGAGGCAGGCAGAUCACAAGGUCAGGAGAUCGAGACCAUCCUGGCUAACAUGAUGAAACCCCAUCACUACUAAAAACACAAAAAAUCAGCUGGGCGUGGUGGUGGGCACCUGUAGACCCAGCUACUCAGGAGGCUGAGGCAGGAGAAUGGCGUGAACCCAUGAGGCAGAGCUUGCAGUGAGCCGAGAUCUUGCCACUGCACUCCAGCCUGGGUGACAGAGCAAGAUUCCAUCUCAAAAAAAAAAAGCUGUCCCCAGCAGAGACCCUUAGCACCAUUCCAGGUGUCCUGCUGAAAUCCAGAACCACUGCCAUCCCAACCUGACUCUGCCCACUGAGCUUGAGCUUCUAUUCAUUCGCUGGAGGCCAUCUCAAAUGUCCUUUCUUCAGUGAAACCUGCAGGUCUUUUUCAGGAUAAAGGAGGAGACUCACAUGCAUUGGGACCCUGCUGUGAAUGACGCCCUGUGCCGAUCACCUCAUACACAAUUGCUCAUCUCUUCCUCAAAACCCUGGCAGGCAAGACCAGCCAUCUUUAUUUCAUAGAAGGGGAAACCAAGGCUCAAAAGAUGAGGUGACUUGUCCAAGGUCGGGCAAACUUUGCCAUAUUCUGCAUGCCUCUAACAGGGAUGGAUGUUGUGGGGGACUGUCUGAUGGAGGCUGGGGUGGGGUCACC